AUUGAACGCUAGCGGCGUGCCUAACACAUGCAAGUCGAGCGGUAACAGGUGUAGCAAUACAUGCUGACGAGCGGCGGACGGGUGAGUAACGCUUGGGAAUCUGCCUGUUAGUGGGGGACGAACCCGGGGAAACCGUACGGGCGUAAUACCGCAUACGCACUACGGUGGAAAGGCCGGGGACCGGCAAGGCCUGGCGCUAACAGAUGAGCCCAAGUCGGAUUAGCUAGUUGGUAGGGGUAACGGCCACCAAGGCGACGAUCCGUAACUGGUCUGAGAGGACGACCAGUCACACCGGAACUGAGACACGGU
This 309-nucleotide ribosomal RNA is filed under the name uncultured bacterium. RNAcentral describes it as "bacterial SSU rRNA". It matches the Rfam family "Bacterial small subunit ribosomal RNA", at positions 29 to 330 of the family's 1533-position model. The record is from RNAcentral.